RNAcentral lists this long non-coding RNA (615 nucleotides) under Rosa chinensis. RNAcentral describes it as "sRNA RchiOBHm_Chr5g0057061". Lineage: Eukaryota; Viridiplantae; Streptophyta; Magnoliopsida; Rosales; Rosaceae. The record is from RNAcentral.
GUCAAAUACUUGAGCAUGAUUCAUACUCAUCGGAAGAAAUCGAGAGAGGGCGCUGACCUUUUUUCCCUCUCAGUCUCUCUCUUUGACCGUCGAGGCUUCGACGGCCCUCGCUCUCAUCGACGGUAACUCGGUGACGGACUGCAGUCGAAUAGUUGAUCGAUCUGUCUGGGUUUUUACUUUCUGGGUUUUCAAUCAAUCUCUCAAGUAUUCGAAUAGCCUCAAACUCUUGGUUGCUCUCUUCCUCAAGCAGCAAAGCAGAAAUUCUUGGUUGCUUUCCGGGGAUCACAUGAGCCACAAGCUCAGCCACGUCCCGAGGAUGCUCCAGCACAGCAGUCCUAUUAUCCUCACUUUGUUAACUCCCCGAGCUCUUCUCGUCCUUUAACUCCGAGUUGAACCUCUUCUUCUUCCAAUUCGAGUUCUAGGGGUAACUCCCCGUCACCUGUUUCUCCCACUGAAGCUGCUGGUGUUAUUGCUUCUUUGAAGGACAAAGGCGAGACCUAUCAGUACUAUGAUUUGCCUUUCUGCCUUCCAGAUCCAGUAAUUCAAAAGAAAGAAUCCAUUGGGGAAGUUUUGUGUGGUGAUCGUUUGACCAACAGCUUAUAUCAGUUGAAUUUC